RNAcentral lists this ribosomal RNA (468 nucleotides) under uncultured bacterium. RNAcentral describes it as "partial 16S ribosomal RNA". It matches the Rfam family "Bacterial small subunit ribosomal RNA", at positions 28 to 507 of the family's 1533-position model. The record is from RNAcentral.
GAUGAACGCUGGCGGCGUGCUUAACACAUGCAAGUCGAACGGAAAGGCCCUGCUUUUGUGGGGUGCUUGAGUGGCGAACGGGUGAGUAACACGUGAGUAAAAUGCCCUUGACUUUGGGAUAACUUCAGGAAAAUGGGGCUAAUACAGGAUAGGAGCUUCUGAUGCAUGGUGGGGGUUGGAAAGAUUCGGCGGUUGGGGAUGGUCUCGAAGCUUAUCCGCUUGUUGGUGGGGUAGUGACUUACAAAGGCUUCGACGGGUAGCCGACCUGAGAGCGUGACCGGCCACAUUGGGACUGAGAGACGGCCCAGACUCCUACGGUACGCAGCAGUGGGGAAUAUUGCACAAUGGGCGGAAGCCAGAUGCAACGAUGCCGCGUGCGGGAUGACGGCCUACUGGUUGUGAACCGCUGUCGCAUGUGACGAAGCGUGAGUGACGGUAAUUGGUAAGGAAGCACCGGCUAACUACGUG